UACAGAGGGUGCGAGCGUUAAUCGGAAUUACUGGGCGUAAAGCGCGCGUAGGCGGCUUUGCAAGUCGGGUGUGAAAUCCCCAGGCUUAACCUGGGAACUGCAUUCGAGACUGCAUUGCUAGAGUAUGGGAGAGGGAAGUGGAAUUUCCGGUGUAGCGGAGAAAUGCGUAGAUAUCGGAAGGAACAUCAGUGGCGAAAGCGACUUCCUGGACCAAUACUGACGCUCAUGUGCGAAAGCGUGGGGAGCAAACAGG
Molecule: ribosomal RNA, 253 nt
Filed under: uncultured bacterium
Lineage: Bacteria
Description: partial 16S ribosomal RNA
Rfam family: Bacterial small subunit ribosomal RNA
Source: RNAcentral